UACGUAGGUGGCAAGCGUUGUCCGGAUUUAUUGGGUUUAAAGGGUGCGUAGGCGGUCUUAUAAGUCAGUGGUGAAAUCCGGCAGCUCAACUGUCGAGGUGCCAUUGAUACUGUAGGACUUGAGUACAGACGAGGUAGGCGGAAUUGACGGUGUAGCGGUGAAAUGCUCAGAUAUCGUCAAGAACACCGAUAGCGAAGGCAGCUUACUAGGCUGUAACUGACGCUGAGGCACGAAAGUGUGGGGAGCAAACAGG
RNAcentral lists this ribosomal RNA (253 nucleotides) under uncultured bacterium. RNAcentral's name for it is "partial 16S ribosomal RNA". It matches the Rfam family "Bacterial small subunit ribosomal RNA", at positions 524 to 776 of the family's 1533-position model. The record is from RNAcentral.